GUGCCAGCCGCCGCGGUAAGACGAACCGUGCGAACGUUGUUCGGAAUCACUGGGCUUAAAGGGCGCGUAGGUGGUUGAUCAAGUCUGGGGUGAAAUCUUUCGGCUUAACCGGAAAAGUGCCUUGGAUACUGAUCAGCUGGAGGGAGGUAGGGGCAGUUGGAACUUCCAGUGGAGCGGUGAAAUGCGUUGAUAUUGGAAGGAACGCCGGUGGCGAAAGCGAGCUGCUGGACCUCUUCUGACACUGAGGCGCGAAAGCUAGGGGAGCAAACGGGAUUAGAUACCCCGGUAGUCCUAGCCCUAAACGUUGGGUACUAGGUAGUGGACUUAACAUGGGUUCACUGCCGAAGCAAAAGUGUUAAGUACCCCGCCUGGGGAGUAUGGUCGCAAGGCUGAA
Molecule: ribosomal RNA, 394 nt
Filed under: uncultured bacterium
Lineage: Bacteria
Description: bacterial SSU rRNA
Rfam family: Bacterial small subunit ribosomal RNA
Source: RNAcentral